GAAGAAGAAGAAGAAGAAGAAGAAGAAGAAGACCAACAAGUUGAAGGAGCAGAAGAAGGAAAAGUGGAAAAGUCUUUCUGGGAGGAGUGAAGAAGGACAAAAUGGAGGACGCAGAAUUCCCAAAGGAAUUGUUUGGUAAGAGCAGCGGGGGGGGGGGGGGUGUUAAUAUUUGGGACAAGAAGCGACAGAUAGAAGGAUCAAUUCCAUUUGUUUUCAUGCCAUUUUGUAUAAGACGGACGGAAUCCCACUGGAGUUUCAGGCGCUUCUUGAAAUGGUGCUGGACAGCCAGUCAUAACGCGGUGGGCGGGGCGUGUGUCACCUAGAACACAAGCAGGAUUCGUAACGGAUCGUCGGUACGGCACUAUUUGAGGCCGUUCUAAAUAAUAGACUGUCGUGCUGCACUUGAGUAACUGAGCAGCUCAGACUGACACCCGAAAUGCACCGCAUAUUAAAAUCCGGAAGAACAUUUUUCUAUCAGAUGGUAAAAAGUCAAAAUGGACGUCUGGGUCAAACGGCGUUCCGUCAACGCGGCGCCACACUCGCCUCGAAUGCGUCUUCGGUGUUGUCGCCGUCUCGUUCCGCAGACGGCGUGCAGGAGGCGGCGGGGCGGAGCCUCAACUUGACCCUGAGGUGCCGGGCCCAGCCGGAGGUCAAAGGUGAAAAGGCGGACGACAAAGUGCUGGCUUUGGCAUCCGAUCGAGCCUUCUUGUUGUCAGCGCACGUCCCCCCCAAGGUGGAGCACUCCUUCAGCUACCUGGACAUCCAGCGUCUCCAUAGCAACAAGCCCACUCAGGUGUCGCUGGAGUGCCGGCGCGGUGGACCGUGUACGCUGUGGUUUAGUUCCCAGAAGGACAGCGACCGGGUCGUCGGCCACGUGGGCUCCCGUCUCGUGCGGAUCUGCCCGGACAUGAGUUUGCUGAAGAGGUUUCACGUGAUGCCCGCCGAACGAUGGGUCGCCCUCCGGGGGGUCUGGGAGCGGCAGGGUGCUGUGGACCUGGGGCCUUGCGGAGGAUUCUCGGAUCAGUACCGUGCUGUCUGCGACAACCUAGACCUGGUCUACAGGGAGGAGGUCCAGUGGGAUGUGGACACCAUCUAUCUGAGUCAAGACACCACAGAACUCAACCUCCGAGACUUCAGUCACCUGGACAGCAGGGAUCUUGCGGCCGUUGUCGCCACUCUGGAGGUCAACAAGUGGUUCACCGGGCUGGUCGUCCGAGACUACAAACUGUCUACGGACGUGUGUGAGCAGAUUCUGCACGUGAUGUCCCGGUCCAGUUGUUUGGAGGAGCUGGUCCUGGAAAACGCUGGUCUCAGAAGUGAUUUUGCCCAAAAACUGUCCUUGGCACUGAGUGCCAACCCCGCCUCCACGCUGCACAACCUGAACCUGAGCAACAACCCGCUAGACGACAAAGGCGUGUGCGCUCUGAGCGCUCAGCUGGGCAAACUCGCGAAGGGUCUGAAGCAACUGAACCUCGGCCGGACCUCCGUGUCCUCCAAAGGGGCCGACGUCCUGUGUCAGGCGCUGCGCGCCGACCCCGGCGUGGCCGCCACUCUCACGCACCUGCGCUUGUCCGGAAACUCGCUCCGAGGAGACGAGCUGCAGAACUUCCUGAGUGGAGAGAACCGCUUAGAAGUUCUGGAUCUGUCCAGCAGCGACUGCUCACUGGAGCAGACUGCGGGCUCUCUUCUCAAAGGAUGUUUAAAGCAUCUCCGCGUGCUGAACAUGUCGAAGACGCCCUUUUGGCACAGGAAGAGCAGGGAGGUUCCUCCGUCCUUCAAGCAGUUCUUCAGCCUGUCCCGGGCUCUGAGCUCCGUCGACGUGUCCGGCUGCAGACUUCCCGCCGAGGCUCUCAAGGCGCUGCUGCUGGGUCUGGGCUGCAACCCCAAUCUGAGCGACGUGUCUCUGGACCUGAGCGGCUGCGAGCUGCGUUCGGCAGGCUCUCAGAUCCUGGAGGGCUGCAUCGCGGAGAUCCCCAACAUCUCCAGUUUGGACAUCUCCGACAACGGUCUGGACGGGGACCUGAGCACCCUGCUGGCGUGGCUGGCCAAGAACCGCUCGAUCCGCCACCUUUCAUUGGGAAGAAACUUCCACAAUAUCAAGUCCAAGAACGUGGCUGCGGUCCUGGACGACCUGGUCCGCAUGAUCCAAGAAGAGGAGUCACCACUGACCUCGCUGUCGCUGGCUGACUCCAAGCUGAAGGGUGACCUGGCCGUGGUCCUCAACGCCCUGGGAAGCAACACCUCGCUCACAAAGCUGGACAUCCGAGGGAACGCCAUGGGCGAUAUGGGCGCCAAAAUGCUGGCCAAGGCCCUGCAGAUCAACACCAAGCUCAGGACGCUUUUGUGGGACCGCAACAACGUCAGCGCCCGGGGACUGCAGGAAGUGGCGUCCGCGUUGGAGACGAACUUCACCAUUCGCUUCAUGCCAGUUCCCAUCACGGACGCCGCCCAGGCGCUCAAGACCAACCCGGAAAAGACCGAAGACGCGCUGAUGAAGAUCGAGCACUUCCUGCUGAGGAACCACGAGACUCGCAAGUACCUCCAGGAACAGGCGUACCGGCUGCAGCAGGGCAUCGUCACCAGCGCCACGCAGCAGCUGAUGGACACCAUGUGUGUGAAGGUUCAGGAUCAUCUCAACUCACUCACGUUCACCCAGAGCCCCACUGUCCGAAAGGAUAUGAAGAUCGCCGAAAACCUGAUGACCGACGCGAGGAACUCCAAGACUCUGCUCCGCAACCUCUACCACUUGGGGGGCGACGGUCUACGCGUGGCCGUUCGGGACAAACUGGAGUCCGUGGCGGGGGAGGUCUCGGCCCUGAUGGAUGAGGAGCUGGAGACGAUGCUGGCGUCCAUGUUGGAAGUGACCUCGGGUUUGUGUCCUCACGUGAUGAAGACGAGCGGCCUCGCUCCAGAUCUGCUGCGGGCGUGCGCGGUGAAGAUGAGCGUCCCUCGCGGUUUCAUCACCAAGACGCUCCUGGAGCAGACAGGCGUGGACAUCCUCAACAAGAUCAGUGAGCUGAAACUCAGCGCGGCGUCCUUAAUCUCCGAUCGCAUCGUGGACCAGAUCCUGGACUCCUUGUCCACGCGGUGCCACACGCUGGCCGACCACGUGAGCAGGCAGGGGCGACCUGCGCUACGUCCGGAGUCUCAGGCGGAAACCGAAGUUCUGGAUGAGACGGUCCUCGACGGGGAAGCCCAAGUGGAGGCGUCUGUUACGACGGCUAAAUCCAAACGGAAGAGUAUUCUGGUGCGGAUGGUGCGACCAGUUUCGGCGGCACAUGAGAUGGAAUUGGACCUGGAUCAGGCUCUUCAGGAGGUGCCAGUCCACGUGUUGGACUUGCCGCCCUCGUGUCGGCCAAACCUUGCGCAGCCAUCAUUCCCGCCUCUGGCGUCACCGCCUCCACUGGAGCAUCACACCAAAGUGAGACCCAAAGCCAGGAGGCGGACCAAACCUCGUCGAGUCACGUGCGAGGCACCGGCGGGGUCGGAGAGUCAGACCCCGCUGGGAAAGGUGGACGAAGGGGUGGCCGAGUUCUUCUCCAAGAAAGUCCUGAAUGUCAGCUUGAAAGGCGCCCCCGCACAAGUGACGACGUCCAACAAGCGCCAGUUGGCUGACAAGAAACGGGACUCCAGGGGGAGCGGCUUCUUCAACCUCAUCAAAGUUCGGACAUCCCGCUCGGACAAGGGCCAGGCGCGCUCCGGGUUCCCCGCUCCCACGCGGUCGCCUAUAUCCCCUGCCCUCGCGCCGGCCACACCCUCCGUCACCGGGGAGCCCCCGCCGGCAUCCCCGUCGUCGCCACGCCAGCCGUCCCCGAGGUUUCCGAAGCGCAACGACGAGUACUCUGACACAAACGUGUCGGCGCCUUCUGCCGGAGCGGCUGAAAGCGACGGCCCCGCCCUUCCGAGGCACGCGGGCAUUCCCGUCACGGGCGCCGACCUCCUGGCGGAGAUGAAAGCACGCCAGGAGAAAAUGGCCGCUCGAAAGUCGCAGUCACCGAGGGAAGAUGACGACGACGACGACCGCACAGGCACAGACCACCACGGACCAGAGGCCGCCCCGAGGUCCAAAACCUCCGCCCUCAGCCCCGAAUCCCCGCCCGGUCCCUCCAGCCCCAGCGCCGCUCUUGGGCCGCGGAAUUCGACGACGGGCGCCGCCAGGGUUCCAAUUCCAGCUCCUCGCCUGCGGAGGUCGCCGACUGAGCACGAAGGACGCGACGUGCUCGCCGCCAACGCUACAGUAAUGCCGUGACUAAAGUUCUACUCUUCUGGCACGAGCGAGUAAUGCUCUGCCUCGAACCCUACAAACAAACCACCGCACGCUGCCUUCCGGCGGCGGCGCCGCGGAGGCGCUGGUCCUCUCUCAAGGCGUCGGAGUCGCGCCCGAGUCCGGACGGGCGCCGGCGAGCCAAGUCUCUACCCGCCUCCC
Molecule: RNA transcript, 4426 nt
Organism: Syngnathoides biaculeatus (alligator pipefish)
Lineage: Eukaryota; Metazoa; Chordata; Actinopteri; Syngnathiformes; Syngnathidae
Gene name: F-actin-uncapping protein LRRC16A-like
Exons: 37
Source: RefSeq, a predicted model, not a curated record